UAAUUCGAAGCAACGCGAAGAACCUUACCUAAGCUUGACAUCCCAAUGACAUCUCCUUAAUCGGAGAGUUCCCUUCGGGGACAUUGGUGACAGGUGGUGCAUGGUUGUCGUCAGCUCGUGUCGUGGGAUGUUGGGUUAAGUCCCGCAACGAGCGCAACCCUUGUCUUUAGUUGCCAUCAUUAAGUUGGGCACUCUAGAGAGACUGCCAGGGAUAACCUGGAGGAAGGUGGGGAUGACGUCAAAUCAUCAUGCC
Molecule: ribosomal RNA, 253 nt
Filed under: Clostridioides difficile
Lineage: Bacteria; Bacillati; Bacillota; Clostridia; Peptostreptococcales; Peptostreptococcaceae
Description: partial 16S ribosomal RNA
Rfam family: Bacterial small subunit ribosomal RNA
Source: RNAcentral